CAAGUGUUGCUUUAGAUUGGAAGCUGCUUACUUUCCUUAGAAAGCAAUCGCUAGGAAUUCUUUCAGGUUUGAUUUGAAGUUGUGUUCUUCCAGGGAGUAUUUGUGUGCUUGAGUAUAAUGCUAACAGUGUCUUGUUCUAAGACAGCGUCUUGUUCUAAAUGCUCUGUCUGCAGUCUCUUUGGAACACGUUGGCAAUACGGAUUUGGACCAAAAGCCCUCAUGAAGAUAAGCUUACAGACAUGAAUCCUCAGAGGAGAUUUCCUCUCUUCACCCAGUACCAAGGGCAAGAUGGUGUUUCACUGCUGGCCUCUUCUGCGUGUCUACUAAGUAGAGCACAUCUGCCAUGAAACAUCAGCAGAGAAUGACUUCAUUAAAUAUUAAAUACUGUUUUCUGCCUUCACAACAAAACCCUCAAAUGGUGGAAGCGUCCAGGAGGGCAACCAAACUCAUUCUGAGCUGCAAAGUGCUCCUUGCAAAAGUCAGCCCGUUGCUGUGCUACUGGUUCCCCGUGAGUAAUGACCCACUGGCUGCUUGUCCAGUUUGAACAAUUGUUACGACAGCAUCUCUAAUACUGGUUUUCGCAGAAGCUUGAGACAACGUAUUUGUGGAUUAGAAACAAUCUUCGAGGCUUGUAAAAUUUGCCCAACACUCAAUAAUAAUUCAAAAUGAGAGACAAAGGAGGGUAUGUCAUAGGCCUUACAUUCCUUUUUCCCAAAUCCAUUCCUUUGCUUUGAUGUACAUAAUGGAAGUACAAGAUUUUAACCUAUUUGACAUUCACUUUGGAAUUUUCCCCUUCUAUAAUUUUUAAAUUCCCUUGAAAAAUCUCAGGGACCAUUGGUUUUCCUAUUAGUACCAUCUGCUGGUCUGGACAUUCUGACUGGGUUCUGGUUUGUAAGCUUCAAUACAC
Aethalodelphis obliquidens (Pacific white-sided dolphin) is the source of this 907-nucleotide long non-coding RNA. RefSeq lists it as uncharacterized. The record is from RefSeq and is a predicted model, not a curated record. The transcript is spliced from 2 exons. NCBI's taxonomy places the organism in Eukaryota, Metazoa, Chordata, Mammalia, Artiodactyla, Delphinidae.